GGAUUCCCCUAGUAACUGCGAGUGAAGCGGGAAAAGCUCAAAUUUAAAAUCUGACAGUCUUUGGCUGUCCGAGUUGUAAUCUGGAGAAGCGUUUUCCGCGCUGGACCGUGUACAAGUCUCUUGGAAUAGAGCGUCAUAGAGGGUGAGAAUCCCGUCUUUGACACGGACUACCAGUGCUUUGUGAUACGCUCUCAAAGAGUCGAGUUGUUUGGGAAUGCAGCUCAAAAUGGGUGGUAAAUUCCAUCUAAAGCUAAAUAUUGGCGAGAGACCGAUAGCGAACAAGUACCGUGAGGGAAAGAUGAAAAGCACUUUGGAAAGAGAGUUAAACAGUACGUGAAAUUGCUGAAAGGGAAGCGUUUGAAGUCAGUCGCGUUGUUCAGAACUCAACCUGGUUUUACUUGGUGCACUUUCUGGAUGACGGGCCAACAUCAGUUUUGACUGUCGGAAAAAAGCCUUUGGAAUGUGGCACCUCCGGGUGUGUUAUAGCCUUUGGUUGUAUACGAUGGUUGGGAUUGAGGACCGCAGCACGCCUUUUGGCCGGGGUUCGCCCACGUACGUGCUUAGGAUGUUGGCGUAAUGGCUUUAAACGACCCGUCUUGAAACACGGACCAAGGAGUCUAACAUGCCUGCGAGUGUUUGGGUGGAAAACCCGAGCGCGUAAUGAAAGUGAAAGUUGGGAUCCCUGUCGUGGGGAGCACCGACGCCCAUACCAGACCUUCUGUGACGGAUAUGCGGUUGAGCAUGUAUGUUGGGACCCGAAAGAUGGUGAACUAUGCCUGAAUAGGGUGAAGCCAGAGGAAACUCUGGUGGAAGCUCGUAGCGAUUCUGACGUGCAAAUCGAUCGUCAAAUUUGGGUAUAGGGGCGAAAGACUAAUCGAACCAUCUAGUAGCUGGUUCCUGCCGAAGUUUCCCUCAGGAUAGCAGAAACUCAUAUCAGAUUUAUGUGGUAAAGCGAAUGAUUAGAGGCCUUGGGGUUGAAACAACCUUAACCUAUUCUCAAACUUUAAAAAUGUAAGAACAAGCCGUCA
Molecule: ribosomal RNA, 1028 nt
Filed under: Scopuloides sp. DIS 276l
Lineage: Eukaryota; Fungi; Basidiomycota; Agaricomycetes; Polyporales; Meruliaceae
Description: LSU rRNA
Rfam family: Eukaryotic large subunit ribosomal RNA
Source: RNAcentral